This 429-nucleotide ribosomal RNA is filed under the name Chloroflexota bacterium. Its description in RNAcentral is "Chloroflexi bacterium partial 16S ribosomal RNA". It matches the Rfam family "Bacterial small subunit ribosomal RNA", at positions 355 to 776 of the family's 1533-position model. Lineage: Bacteria; Bacillati; Chloroflexota. The record is from RNAcentral.
UGGGGAAUAUUGCACAAUGGGCGCAAGCCUGAUGCAGCCAUGCCGCGUGUGUGAAGAAGGCCUUCGGGUUGUAAAGCACUUUCAGCGGGGAGGAAGGCGAUAAGGUUAAUAACCUUGUCGAUUGACGUUACCGACAGAAGAAGCACCGGCUAACUCCGUGCCAGCAGCCGCGGUAAUACGGAGGGUGCAAGCGUUAAUCGGAAUUACUUGGCGUAAAGCGCACGCAGGCGGUUGAUUGAGUCAGAUGUGAAAUCCCCGGGCUUAACCCGGGAAUUGCAUCUGAUACUGGUCAGCUAGAGUCUUGUAGAGGGGGGUAGAAUUCCAUGUGUAGCGGUGAAAUGCGUAGAGAUGUGGAGGAAUACCGGUGGCGAAGGCGGCCCCCUGGACAAAGACUGACGCUCAGGUGCGAAAGCGUGGGGAGCAAACAGG